This 1294-nucleotide ribosomal RNA is filed under the name marine metagenome. Its description in RNAcentral is "bacterial LSU rRNA". It matches the Rfam family "Bacterial large subunit ribosomal RNA", at positions 1106 to 2434 of the family's 2925-position model. The record is from RNAcentral.
UUAGAAGCAGCCAUCCUUUAAAGAAAGCGUAAUAGCUCACUAGUCCAGUCCUUUUGUGCCGAAAAUUCAACGGGGCUAAACUAAACACCGAAGACACGAAUUCCACGCUUGCGUGGAGUGGUAGAGGAGCGUUCCAGUGGCGCUGAAGCUGACUUGCGAGAGUUGGUGGAGCAGCUGGAAGUGAGAAUGUUGGCAUAAGUAGCAAAAAGACAGGUGAAAACCCUGUCCGCCGAAAAUUCAAGGUUUCCUGGGCAACGACAUUCGUCCCAGGGUUAGGCGAUCCUAAGCCGAGGCCGAAAGGCGUAGGCGAUGGACCAGACGGUUAAUAUUCCGUCCCUAGUAUAUGUUUCCAAUUGCUGACGCAGUUUUAACUGCUUGAACGUUCUUUUGGAAUGGAACGUUUGCGCUAAGGACCGGCCUCCGCCGGUUCAGAGCGUGAAGAGAAGAAACCUUUGGGUGGAUUCAAUUCAGGCGCGCGAACUGCCUAGAAAAGGCAUGAGGUUAUAUGCAUAUACUAAUCGUACCGCAAACCAACACAGGUGAAUAGGUCGAGAAGACCAAGGCGAACAAGAGAACCCUCGUUUAGGAACUCGGCAAAACAGCGACCGUAACUUAGGGAUAAGGUCCGCCCCCUUUGGGGGGCCGCAGCUAAAGCUUUCAAGCGACUGUUUACCAAAAACAUAGGUCCCUGCUAAACCGCAAGGUGAUGUAUAGGGGCUGAUGCCUGGCCAGUGUCCGAACGUUAAGGUGAUGAGUUUACGCUUUGAACCGAAGCGCGGAUGAACGCCAGCAAUAACUAUAAUUGUUCUAAGGUAGCGAAAUUCCUUGUCGGGUAAGUUCCGACCCGCACGAAUGGCAUAACGACUUGAAAACUGUCUCAACGAGGGACUUGGCGAAAUUGCGAGAUGAGUGAAGAUGCUCAUUACCCAUGGUUAGACGAAAAGACCCCGUGAAGCUUUACUACAGCUUGGUAUUGAUAUAUAGAUUUUUGUGUUUAGCAUAGGUGGGAGACUCUGAAGCUCUGGCGCCAGCCGGAGUGGAGUCGAAAUAUGAAAUACCACCCUCAUACAUUUGUAUAUCUAACUGCUUGCCGUCAUCCGGCAGCAGGACAGUAUCUGGUGGGUAGUUUGACUGGGGCGGUGGCCUCCUAAAAGAUAACGGAGGCGUUUACAAAGGUUGGCUAGCGCUGGAUGGAAAUCAGCGUGAUAGGGCAAACCCAUAAGCCAGCUUUACUGCAAGGGCGACCACCCGAGCAGUUGCGAAAGCAGAAGUUAGUGAUCCGACCGUACGAUAU